GACGAACGCUGGCGGCGUGCUUAACACAUGCAAGUCGAACGGAAAGGCCCUGCUUUUGUGGGGUGCUCGAGUGGCGAACGGGUGAGUAACACGUGAGUAACCUGCCCUUGACUUUGGGAUAACUUCAGGAAACUGGUGCUAAUACCGGAUAGGAGCUCCUGCUGCAUGGUGGGGGUUGGAAAGUUUCGGCGGUUGGGGAUGGACUCGCGGCUUAUGAGCUUGUUGGUGGGGUAGUGGCUUACCCAGGCUUUGACGGGUAGCCGGCCUGAGAGGGUGACCGGCCACCUUGGGACUGAGAUACGGCCCAGACUCCUACGGGAGGCAGCAGUGGGGAAUAUUGCACAAUGGGCGGAAGCCUGAUGCAGCAACGCCGCGUGCGGGAUGACGGCCUUCGGGUUGUAAACCGCUUUCGCCUGUGACGAAGCGUGAGUGACGGUAAUGGGUAAAGAAGCACCGGCUAACUACGUG
RNAcentral lists this ribosomal RNA (468 nucleotides) under uncultured bacterium. RNAcentral describes it as "partial 16S ribosomal RNA". It matches the Rfam family "Bacterial small subunit ribosomal RNA", at positions 28 to 507 of the family's 1533-position model. The record is from RNAcentral.